This 360-nucleotide long non-coding RNA is filed under the name Mytilus galloprovincialis (Mediterranean mussel). The record is from RNAcentral. Lineage: Eukaryota; Metazoa; Mollusca; Bivalvia; Mytilida; Mytilidae.
UGGGCGAUAUCUUUUUGCGCCAAAAAGUAACUCAUUUGCGCCACAACUUAUUUGCGCCAAUACAUCUUUUGCGCCACCUAAUUUUCAAAACCAUAGGUAUAAUUUGCGCCAAUAAAAUAAUCAUAUAAUUGCGCCAAUUCUAUUUAUCUUUAUUCAUAUAUAACAACUAAAUGAUUGACUAGGUAACAUCAGCAAAAAAUCCUCUUACAUUGUACAUAGAAAUUUUAAAUUAGCCUCGCAUCCUAAUAAAAUUAUCCCGCUUUCUGAAUCGUUACACAAUACAAAGUCAUCAUCUUUGUUUGUAACAACACCAAUAUCAUCCAAUAUUCUGUGAAAUUCUGCUUGAUUUUUAGGUUGAGC